UUUUGGACAAUGGGGGAAACCCUGAUCCAGCAAUGCCGCGUGAGUGAAGGAGGCCUUCGGGUUGUAAAGCUCUUUUGUCAGGGAAGAAACACCGGCUUUAACACAGUCCGGGAAUGACGGUACCUGAAGAAUAAGCACCGGCUAACUACGUGCCAGCAGCCGCGGUAAUACGUAGGGUGCAAGCGUUAAUCGGAAUUACUGGGCGUAAAGCGUGCGCAGGCGGUUAUACAAGACAGGCGUGAAAUCCCCGGGCUUAACCUGGGGAUGGCGCCUGUGACUGUAUAGCUAGAGUGUGUCAGAGGGGGGUAGAAUUCCACGUGUAGCAGUGAAAUGCGUAGAUAUGUGGAGGAAUACCAAUGGCGAAGGCAGCCCCCUGGAAACACUACGUCAGCAGAG
RNAcentral lists this ribosomal RNA (396 nucleotides) under uncultured bacterium. RNAcentral describes it as "bacterial SSU rRNA". It matches the Rfam family "Bacterial small subunit ribosomal RNA", at positions 362 to 750 of the family's 1533-position model. The record is from RNAcentral.